This 460-nucleotide ribosomal RNA is filed under the name uncultured bacterium. RNAcentral describes it as "partial 16S ribosomal RNA". It matches the Rfam family "Bacterial small subunit ribosomal RNA", at positions 338 to 795 of the family's 1533-position model. The record is from RNAcentral.
CCUACGGGAGGCAGCAGUGAGGAAUAUUGGUCAAUGGACGAGAGUCUGAACCAGCCAAGUAGCGUGAAGGAUGACUGCCCUAUGGGUUGUAAACUUCUUUUAUAUGGGAAUAAAAUGUUCCACGUGUGGGAUUUUGUAUGUACCAUAUGAAUAAGGAUCGGCUAACUCCGUGCCAGCAGCCGCGGUAAUACGGAGGAUCCGAGCGUUAUCCGGAUUUAUUGGGUUUAAAGGGAGCGUAGGUGGAUUGUUAAGUCAGUUGUGAAAGUUUGCGGCUCAACCGUAAAAUUGCAGUUGAAACUGGCAGUCUUGAGUACAGUAGAGGUGGGCGGAAUUCGUGGUGUAGCGGUGAAAUGCUUAGAUAUCACGAAGAACUCCGAUUGCGAAGGCAGUUCACUGGACUGCAACUGACACUGAGGCUCAAAAGUGUGGGUAUCAAACAGGAUUAGAUACCCCAGUAGUC